RNAcentral lists this ribosomal RNA (497 nucleotides) under uncultured bacterium. RNAcentral's name for it is "partial 16S ribosomal RNA". It matches the Rfam family "Bacterial small subunit ribosomal RNA", at positions 28 to 507 of the family's 1533-position model. The record is from RNAcentral.
GAUGAACGCUGGCGGCGUGCCUAAUACAUGCAAGUCGAGCGAACAGACGAGGAGCUUGCUCCUCUGACGUUAGCGGCGGACGGGUGAGUCACACGUGGAUAACCUACCUAUAAGACUGGGAUAACUUCGGGAAACCGGAGCUAAUACCGGAUAAUAUAUUGAACCGCAUGGUUCAAUAGUGAAAUACGGUUUUGCUGUCACUUAUAGAUGGAUCCGCGCUGCAUUAGCUAGUUGGUAAGGUAACGGCUUACCAAGGCAACGAUGCGUAGCCGACCUGAGAGGGUGAUCGGCUACACGGGAACUGAGACACGGUCCAGACGCCGACGGGAGGCAGCAGUAGGGAAUCUUCCGCAAUGGGCGAAAGCCUGACGGAGCAACGCCGCGUGAGUGAUGAAGGUCUUCGGAUCGGAAAACUCUGUUAUUAGGGAAGAACAAAUGUGUAAGUAACUGUGCACGUCUUGACGGUACCUAAUCAGAAAGCCACGGCUAACUACGUG